GCUGCCUCUGACACGGGUCAUGUGGUUCUCCCAGGUGUUCCACAUGUAUGCAGGUGCCUGAGGCGGUCAGAACAAGUCUCUGGAGCUGGAGUUACAGGCAGUUGUGAGCCACUUGGAAACUGAAACCGGGUCCUCUGGAAGAGCAUCGUGAGCUCUUAGCCUCUGAGUCAUCUCUCCAGCCCCACAAGCAUCGAACGUUAAUUUAACCAAGCAUGGCUCAUCAAAAAUGUAUUAGAAGUAGAGACAGGGAAUGCUCAGCUGCUUGGAUGAUAUCUGAGGGAGCAGAGGCUGUGGAGGAAAUAGAGAAGGAAACACUUCCAGAGCACGUGGGAACUAAGAACACCCCAAAUGGAGAAGCGCCUGUGUCCAUGGCACCCUGUUAUUUGGGGACCUGGUGGCUUCUGCCUCUCUCCUGGGAUAGAGAGAGUCCUCUCUAGUCAUAAAAUCAUGUGAUGAACCGUAGACUGGGAUCAGAUGGUAACCCUUCCACUACCACAUCUGCUCACAUGAAAGCAAAGUGCUGGUACCCUUAAGUGCACCGCAUGUCU
This 548-nucleotide long non-coding RNA is filed under the name Mus caroli (Ryukyu mouse). RNAcentral's name for it is "lncRNA (MGP_CAROLIEiJ_G0004587.1)". The record is from RNAcentral. Lineage: Eukaryota; Metazoa; Chordata; Mammalia; Rodentia; Muridae.